Molecule: ribosomal RNA, 242 nt
Filed under: uncultured bacterium
Lineage: Bacteria
Description: partial 16S ribosomal RNA
Rfam family: Bacterial small subunit ribosomal RNA
Source: RNAcentral
GACCUCCUGGCUCAGGAUGAACGCUAGCGACAGGCCUAACACAUGCAAGUCGAGGGGCAGCGAAGAGGUAGCAAUACCUUUGCCGGCGACCGGCGCACGGGUGAGUAACACGUAUGCAAUCCACCUGUAACAGGGGGAUAACCCGGAGAAAUCCGGACUAAUACCCCAUAAUAUGGGCGCUCCGCAUGGAGAGCCCAUUAAAGAGAGCAAUUUUGGUUACAGACGAGCAUGCGCUCCAUUAG